UAGGCGUGGCACAUGAUCAUGCAACUCAACUAUAUAUCUUUAUUUUUGUGUGUGUGUCUCCACAAAGCCACCGUUUUUUACGGGAUGUUGCUUUGCUCAUGUUGCGAACUCGAUCUCUUUCUUUCUUUCUUUCUUUCUUUCUUCUUUUGUCUUUCUUUAUCUAAUUGACUUUUAACCUUUCGGAUCGGCCCUUUAUUUAAUACAUUUCUAUCAUCAUAGUUAAAUUGCUAAUCUAGGAAAUUCCAGUUUCCAUAGAUGUUCUUGCUCCGAGUCUCAAAUUUGCUUUCCUAGCUAUUAUAAUAUGAAAUUUCAUAUGGUUAAUGUAGCAAACAAAGACUCAUUUUCUGAUUAGUUAAGAGUUCAACUUCCAACAAACCAUAACAAAAAAACAAAAGUAACAAAUGACAAGAAAAGAAAAAAACAAAGAAAGACUCUAAGCUAAUCAAUUAUAUGAUUUGAUAGUUUUCGUAUUUUCGCCUGUAUAGCAAAAAAAAAAAAAAAACAGAAACUUAGAGGGGGAACACUUUGUCUGUCUUUCUUGUACUCCGUAAAAUACUUAUCCGAAACAGUAUUUGAAUGUUUCCUUCAAUCUCCAAAGGAUCUGGAUUAACCUUUAGGUUUUUUUUUUUUUUUAACAUUGAGUUAACUGAUAUCGUGACUUUACUAACUUUGAUAUAAGCAUGCGAAUACUGUUGAGAUAGGUGAUUUGAGGUUUCGAUAUGUCUUCUAUACUUUUGUAAUUGUAAAACACCUUCUAUGAAAAAUUGACAAUACAACAGUAACAGUACU
RNAcentral lists this long non-coding RNA (789 nucleotides) under Capsella rubella. RNAcentral describes it as "long non-coding RNA (CRUB_LNC003444)". Lineage: Eukaryota; Viridiplantae; Streptophyta; Magnoliopsida; Brassicales; Brassicaceae. The record is from RNAcentral.